Molecule: small nuclear RNA, 103 nt
Organism: Mustela putorius furo (domestic ferret)
Lineage: Eukaryota; Metazoa; Chordata; Mammalia; Carnivora; Mustelidae
Source: Ensembl
UUGCUUUUGGGCAGCACAUGUGCUAAAAUUGGAAUGAUACAGAGAAGAUUCGCACAGCCCCUGUGAAAAUCACAUGCAGAUUCAUGAAGAGUUCCAUAUUUUU